This 108-nucleotide non-coding RNA is filed under the name Clostridium sp. RNAcentral describes it as "TPP sequence". It matches the Rfam family "TPP riboswitch aptamer (THI element)". Rfam says of the family: Vitamin B(1) in its active form thiamin pyrophosphate (TPP) is an essential coenzyme that is synthesised by coupling of pyrimidine and thiazole moieties in bacteria. The previously detected thiamin-regulatory element, thi box was extended, resulting in a new, highly conserved RNA secondary structure, the THI element, which is widely distributed in eubacteria and also occurs in some archaea. Analysis of operon structures identified a large number of new candidate thiamin-regulated genes, mostly transporters, in various prokaryotic organisms. Lineage: Bacteria; Bacillati; Bacillota; Clostridia; Eubacteriales; Clostridiaceae. RNAcentral also lists the same sequence under 1 other name. The record is from RNAcentral.
AAUAGAAAUCUGGGGGGGCAGUGAACUGCCUGAGAUAAAAUUGAUACUAUUUUGACCCAUGAACCUGAUUUGGAUAAUGCCAACGUAGGGAGAUUAUUUGUUAUUGAA